AAGAAAAUGUUCAAGACUCAAGUGUCUUUUUUGAUAUUCUUUGGCUUUCUGGUCUUAAAUUUGUGUUACAAAAUAAGCCCAAUAGUUAAUGAUGAUCCUUUUGUGAAGCUUGGCAAAGGAUUAUACUAUAUAGAAACCAAACUGACGGUAAACUGGUUUGAGGCCAAUGACCGUUGUCAUGCGAUGGAUGCUCAGCUUAUAACUUUUGAAACAAUGGAAGAAUGGGCUAUGAUUAACAACUACUUGGCAGAUAACAGAAUUGAAGCCUUGUACUGGAUAUCAGGCACUGACUUGGCAAAAGAAAGUAGGCAUGUCUGGUCCUCAAAUGGUCAACCUAUAGCAUUAUGUGGGCUAUGGAGUCGGGGACAACCUGAUAAUUUUUUAGGUUAAGAACACUGUGAUGAUCUUGGUUUCAGGUUAACUGAAAAUGAUCGAAGAGGACUUAACGACGAACAAUGUACUGUCCAAAUCCGAUAUAUUUGUGAAAGACCUCAGCCCAAAAUUAUUUCAUUUAUAGUUUGGUAAUAUUUGAGCACUCAAAAAUAAAUUUGCAUUCAAUAAAAAU
Molecule: long non-coding RNA, 565 nt
Organism: Drosophila innubila
Lineage: Eukaryota; Metazoa; Arthropoda; Insecta; Diptera; Drosophilidae
Exons: 2
Source: RefSeq, a predicted model, not a curated record